UUUUUGAAUGAUGUCACAGGUCACACCCGUUCCCAUACCGAACACGGAAGUUAAGCUCUUCAGCGCCGAUGGUAGUCGGGGGUUUCCCCCUGUGAGAGUAGGACGCCGCCAAGC
Molecule: ribosomal RNA, 114 nt
Filed under: Bacillus subtilis
Lineage: Bacteria; Bacillati; Bacillota; Bacilli; Caryophanales; Bacillaceae
Source: RNAcentral